Molecule: unclassified non-coding RNA, 343 nt
Filed under: soil metagenome
Description: partial contains 5.8S ribosomal RNA, internal transcribed spacer 2, and large subunit ribosomal RNA
Rfam family: 5.8S ribosomal RNA (bases 1-120)
Source: RNAcentral
GAUGAAGAACGCAGUGAAAUGCGAUAAGUAAUGUGAAUUGCAGAAUUCAGUGAAUCAUCGAAUCUUUGAACGCACAUUGCGCCCGCCAGUAUUCUGGCGGGCAUGCCUGUUCGAGCGUCAUUUCAACCCUCAGGGCCCUUUUGGACCUGGCGUUGGGGCUCGGCCGCUACCCUGCGGCCGUCCCCGAAAGAUAGUGGCGGUCUCGCUGUAGCCUCCUCUGCGUAGUAGUUACAUCUCGCACUGGAACGCGGCGCGGCCAUGCCGUUAAACACCCCACUUCUCAAGGUUGACCUCGGAUCAGGUAGGAAUACCCGCUGAACUUAAGCAUAUCAAAAGCGGAGGA